RNAcentral lists this ribosomal RNA (244 nucleotides) under uncultured bacterium. RNAcentral's name for it is "partial 16S ribosomal RNA". It matches the Rfam family "Bacterial small subunit ribosomal RNA", at positions 333 to 594 of the family's 1533-position model. The record is from RNAcentral.
UUCCCCCUACGGGAGGCAGCAGUGGGGGAUAUUGCACAAUGGAGGAAACUCUGAUGCAGCGACGCCGCGUGAGGGAAGACGGUCUUCGGAUUGUAAACCUUUGUCUUUGGGGAAGAAAAUGACGGUACCCAAAGAGGAAGCUCCGGCUAACUACGUGCCAGCAGCCGCGGAAAUACGUAGGGAGCGAGCGUUGUCCGGAAUUACUGGGUGUACAGGGAGCGUAGGCGGGCGAGAAAGUGUAAUG